This 558-nucleotide ribosomal RNA is filed under the name Bos taurus (domestic cattle). RNAcentral's name for it is "partial 16S ribosomal RNA". It matches the Rfam family "Bacterial large subunit ribosomal RNA", at positions 1808 to 2599 of the family's 2925-position model. The record is from RNAcentral. Lineage: Eukaryota; Metazoa; Chordata; Mammalia; Artiodactyla; Bovidae.
CAAAAACAUCACCUCCAGCAUUCCCAGUAUUGGAGGCAUUGCCUGCCCAGUGACAACUGUUUAACGGCCGCGGUAUCCUGACCGUGCAAAGGUAGCAUAAUCAUUUGUUCUCUAAAUAAGGACUUGUAUGAAUGGCCGCACGAGGGUUUUACUGUCUCUUACUUCCAAUCAGUGAAAUUGACCUUCCCGUGAAGAGGCGGGAAUGCACAAAUAAGACGAGAAGACCCUAUGGAGCUUUAACUAACCAACCCAAAGAGAAUAAAUUUAACCAUUAAGGAGUAACAACAAUCUCCAUGAGUUGGUAGUUUCGGUUGGGGUGACCUCGGAGAAUAAAAAACCCUCCGAGCGAUUUUAAAGACUAGACCCACAAGUCAAAUCACUCUAUCGCUCAUUGAUCCAAAAACUUGAUCAACGGAACAAGUUACCCUAGGGAUAACAGCGCAAUCCUAUUCAAGAGUCCAUAUCGACAAUAGGGUUUACGACCUCGAUGUUGGAUCAGGACAUCCUGAUGGUGCAACCGCUAUCAAAGGUUCGUUUGUUCAACGAUUAAAGUCCUAC